Cyprinodon tularosa is the source of this 301-nucleotide long non-coding RNA. RefSeq lists it as uncharacterized. The transcript is spliced from 2 exons. NCBI's taxonomy places the organism in Eukaryota, Metazoa, Chordata, Actinopteri, Cyprinodontiformes, Cyprinodontidae. The record is from RefSeq and is a predicted model, not a curated record.
GCCUUCCUGUGUUACUGGAUUCCUGGACCUUCUCCCCCUGGAAGGAUAAACUGAGUCACACUGAGUAGGGGAAAACCUCCAUAUGUUCUGUUUAAGUUCCCAUGGGAAAUCUGAGUGACAGUCCGCUCCAUUUCUCCUCCGGGUCCUACGCGGGUCAAACCUGUCCGCCCUCCAACAUGUGCACCUCACUCUGGAUUCACCACACAGUCUGGAUUCAAAGCCUAACAAGGCCCCCUUCAAACUUCCAGGUCACCAGCUCACUGAGUUCCACAUCCACUCCUCUGACUCCUUAAUAAACCUG